GUUGACUCGGAUACCCACGGUCAUUAAAAAAAAAAUGUUCGAAUUGGUAAAAUUCUAUAUCUAAAAAAGUUGUAACCCGUUGAGUCAGCUUUCGAAGAAACUUUGAAUCGCCUUAAUCAAAUAUUGGAAAAGAAAGUUAUGAUAAAAAUAUUGAUUACGAGAAAAAACGUACGCGAAUCGAUUGGAACUCUUUUCGAAACCAAUUUGGCCGUGAUUUUUAACCAAUUUUUUAUUCCUACAAAUACCUAAUAGAAAAAUACAUAUUAAUGAUCCCUCAUAUUCAUCUCAUACUAUGAUAUUCUAUCAAUUUUCAUCAUAAACAUCAUAAAAUAGGGGCAAAAUCAUAUAAUGUGAGAAUCUUCCAGAGGUGAUGUUCAAAAACUCAUCAAUUGGAGAUAAUUGGAGAUUGAACUUGUGAUUUGUGGGCAAAGAAGUGUAAGAAUUAUUGAAGAUUUAUCAAGAUUGCUUUGAAGAAAUUCGAGAACAACAAGAUUCAUCUUUCUUCAUUCAUUAAUUCACAAUUCCAGGUGAUGUUCCGUACAUUUAACAUGCUUUCUUAGAAUUCAAAUAUACUAGGCUAGUUUUAUACAUUGCUAAAAUGAUAUGAAUCCUUGUUAUGAUAUUUUUUGCUUUUAAUUAAUUAUUUUAACUUUAUUUUCGUUCGAUUUGUGGAUUUUUAUUAUCUUUUUUAAUCUUUUUUUGUUUUUCAAUUGCUUGAUGACCAAUUUAAUUCUUAAUGAAUUCUAUGUUAUCGAGAGAGACAAUAGGGUUUAAACACAAUACAAUAAACAUCAUAAGGUUUGAUAGAUGAUAGAAAUAUACUUACAUGCUUUUAAUAGGUGUUCUAGCACUUAAAAAUGUAUUUAUCAUGUUUGCAUCUUUUAUCGAGGGAUAGAAUGGUCAUAUCAGAGGAAUAGAUUUGAUCCCUAUCGAGAGAGACUUUCAAUUAAAUUAGAAACAUUGAUCAAUAUGAAUGAUUUCAAAUUGUCACAUUAAUUACACAAAAAAAAAAUUUAAUAAUAAUAAAGGGGAUUAGACAUCAUAGCAGUGCAUUACACAUAUUUGAAAAACACAUUUACUUGUUUUAACUAUUUUAAUUGGUAAUUUAGGAAUUACUAUAGAAAAAUCACAACUUAUUUUUGGGUGUCAACGGGCCGAGCUGGCUUGAGCUUUUUUUGGCCCGGGCCGGGCCGAGCCGAGCCGAGCCGAGCAGAGCAAAAGCUCGGCCAAAAAAUUGAGGUAGUUGCCUUUGUAAAGGCAGAUAGCCUUUACAAAGGCUUUAUUUAUUUAUUUUUUUUUUAAAUUUUAAGUCGGCCCCUGGCUCGCGAGCCAUACGGGCCGGCUCGAUCCCGUGAACCAAUUUUUCAUCCCUAAUUUAUUUGCUAUUUAAUUAAGCCCCCGUUUGAACCCCAUUAUUUCUCAUUACAUUAAAUUAAAAUUUUCUCUCUCCUACUUUUAACCACACAACAAUCUUCAAUAAAAUAAUAUUACACGUAAAUGAAAAACUUUUCAACCACUCAUUUUUCAAAAAAAUAUUAUUCAUUUAAUUAUAAUUUACAAAUAAUGGGGCUCAAACGGCCCCUAAAAUUGCAAUUAAUUUUAACUCGGUCAAACAUAUAGUGCUUGAGGUUUCGACACUAUAUUCACUGCUUAAUUAUCUGUUCACGAUCUCAUUCACUUGUGAAAAAUCAAACUUUCAAGCUCAAUAUAUGGGGGUUACUAAUGCAAUAAUUAGCAGUUAAGGGCUGAUGAGAAGGAUGGACUACCCAUCAACAAAUUUAUUUUUAACAUCAACAAACGAUACUAAAAAUUUAUUUCUAGAUUAUAUGAUGAAAAUGAAUAAAAAAAUAACAUUCAAAAUACGACUAAAUAUAUCAUUACUAAAACUCCACGUGCAUCGCACGUGCUAGCAACUAGUAUGCAUACUAUAUGUUACAACACUUUGUCACGUGUGAUUGAAUAAAUUUGUUGGAAUUAUUGGGGAUCUAGUGUGUUGAAGUUUUGGUGGUUUUCUCCCAUUCUAGAGAAAAGGGAGAGCGUUUGGGGGUGGAGAGAGAGAGAGAGAGUAAAGGGGUGAGAAUAGUUUGGGUUUGGUUUAGGGGUUUUUUUUUUUUUUGGCAAAUACUACUGGUGUGACUUAUUUUAUAUAAUAAAAAGCUAUAAUACAAAUAAAGUAGGGGGCAUAGACCUGACCUCCAGUUUUGCACUGAGUCGGCUUUAGUGUGAUUGUUAUUACUUAAUUUCACAUAACAUAGCCAUUGCCAUCUCUGAGAUAUUGUUGUGUCAAAAAUUACUCUUUAGAAUCUAUAAUAAAUGAAAGGGAAGAAAAUUGGGUUGCUUCCCAAUUAAUGCUUUCUGCGGAUGUGUUCAAUUGUACCAUAACUCUUCAUUUUUUUAGUUAUUCCUAACAUCUAUUGUCCAUAUAUUAAAGUUGAAAAAUUCUAAUAUAUUGUGAAUCUCACAUCACCACUACAAGCAACUAAUUACCUAAGUGGAUCAAAAAAAGUUCGUAUCAUAAAAGGAAAGUUGACCAUGUGGAGCCGAAAAAACUUCAUGCCCACACAUGAUAUAUCUGCUUGCCUACGCAUGGGUAAGAAUAAAAUUGACCGCGGGUGUAGAAAAGUUGCCUCUUGUGCAAGCAAGGGCGUGUGCAUGGUAAAAAAAAAAAUGAUUUCGAUUUUCAUUCCUUCCUUCCAAUUACACUUCAGCUAAUUGAGUUUUACCUAACAAACAAUAAAUACAUGAAAUUAGGUCAUAAUUAAUCAUAAAAACUCUUAAAUGUCUAUAUUUAAAGGCCUAGACACCUAUCAGAGGGAAGCAUGGGGAAUGUGGAAGGAUGUGCAACACAUUCAUGAAAAAGAGAUUAGGAUGAAAAAAAAGUAAUGUUAUAUGAUGUUUAUAAAUGAAAAUUAAAAAUGAGUCAUUUUUUACUUUGACCCUUAUAAUUUAGUCACUUGAAAAGUUCAUCAAAAUUCUUGUUUGUUCAUGCUUAAAAGCUAUAUUCACUUUAGGCACCGUUCUAUAGGUGAUAUUGAUUUAUUCCUGGAUGUUUACUGAAUAGACGUUGGUCAGCCCGUUGUUGCCGGUGUAGGCGUGUUGGGUGGUCCCGUUUGUAGGUUUGGUAAGAAUCAGUCUAUCCUAUUUUACUGUUUUUAUUGUGAAAAUUAUUUUUGAUUUCAUUAUAUUCAAUUAUGUCUUCAGUCUCAAAUUGGCUAGGGAGAUCUAGGUCUAGAAAUAGACAAAAUUCAAAUUAAAUUAGAACAAAUAUUUUUCAAACAGAAUAAAACAAAUAUUUUUCAAACAGAAGAAGAAAUUGAUAAUGCAUCAACAUCAGAGGACUUCAACUCAAAUGAACUUCAAAUUGCACAAAUUGAACAACGUCUUCAAAAUUGGACCAUUCCAAAGAUAGAUAAACAUUUUAUUUAUGAAAUAGGAAAAUUUGAUUUCACUCAAAAUUAUGUUAUCAAAACAUUUGAACAAACAAUUUCAAUUAAUAGUUCAAAUGCAUUCAUCAAUUUAUUUUCAAAAGAAUCUAUUGAAUCUCAUAAGAAGAAGUUCAAAUAUCUUCAUGUGGGAUUAGUUCAAAUUGCAGUUAAACCUUUGUUUAGACUUGGUCUAGACAUUCCAAUUUUAAUUACUCUUAGAUAUAAGAGACAUCUCAAACUUGAAAAUUCAUUACUUUCACUUCUUGAAUCAAAUCUUGAAAGUGGUCCAGUAUUUUCAAACUGUUAUCCAAACUUUUCAAUAAAAUUGACAGAUGGAGCAAUUUUAAAUUCUCUAAAUCUUUAUAUAUAGACUAAAGACCUUGAGUUUGAUAGUAGAUCAAAUGCAUUUACUGUAAUAUAUAGGAUAUAUUACAAACUUAUGAACACUCAACUCAAUAUAGGUGCUCUUCAUUCUUCACCAAGAGAGGAAAGUCUUUUGGUAGAAGUCAAUCCUUUUCAUUCAAAUGUUGAAAUUCCUAAAAGAAUUCCAUGGAAUCUUCAAUCCAGAGGACUCGAAUGGAAUUUUGAAAAUAUUCAAGCUCCCAUUCCUGCUCAAACUCAUACAAUUCCUAAUGAAAUUUUAACUUUUUUUUGAUGGAAAAGCUAAAGUCAUCUUCGAAGGAUCUUCAUCCAGAAUUCGAAGAUCUUUUUCUUCCAAAUCUUCUAGAUCUGAGGAAAAACCAAGAAAUUCUUUUCAAUCUUCAAGAAACUCUACGUCGUCGUUCAAAGGAGUUGAUUUUACUCCUAAUAUUCCAAAUCCUUUUUAUCAACCUAAAGAAAAAGAAGAAGAAACUGAGCAACCAGAGUCUCCUACUUUUUCUUACAUGGUUCCUCCUUCAAAUCAAGAUAUUGAUCAUCAAUGCAAUGUAAUUUUUUCUAAAAUUGACAGAAGAAAAGAGUUCAAAUAUGAUCAAGAUAUUUGUGUUAAAAAAUUUAGAAAACUUUUUAGAGAAAGUUUUUCUUCAAAACAAAAGAAAAAAUAUUGGGAAGAUUAUUUUGAAUCUUCUACAAAUUUAAGUUUUUAUGAUUGGAUUCAAUUCAAAGUUUUAGGUAAAAACCCAAAAAAAAAAAACUCAAAUCCUUACUACAAAAAUUCCUUGAAAAUCUUGGAAAACUCCUGAAGGAAACACUUUUCAAUCUAUUCAUCCUCCUAUGCAAGAAAUAGUUUUUUCUCAAGGAAAAACUGAUAUACCUGCAUCUCCUCUCAAAUGAAUUCCAAAGGAACGAUCUGAUGAUUCUCAGGUUGUUGCUAAGGAUAUCAAAAAUAUUCAAUCUUAGAACAAUUACACUAAUAUUGUUCUACAAUCCAUUUGUUCUCAAUUAAAUCGUAUUGAAUCAAAUUCUGAAUCAGAAGCUUUUACUUCUCAAAAGGAUUCUUUUAAAGAAUCUCGAGAUGGUAAAAGUAAAGAUAAGAAUUUGUCCAAAGCAUCUUCCUCAUCAAUCUUCAAAAAUGAUUAUUUAAUUCCACGAUUUGGAAAAUCUUCAAAUCUUUCUACUGAAAAUGAAGUUCUUUCAGAACUUGUUACUCAAUUAAAAAAUUUUCAUGUUUCAAAAAACAUCAAUACUAUUGAUGAACUUGAAUCUCAUUUUAUUGAUGAAAAAUUUAAUUCUAUUAAUAAGCUAAGAAAAUCUGAUUAUCAAAAUAUUCCAAAAUUUUAUCCUCGUCCUUCAUUUCCUGAUCAACUUUUCGAAGAAAAGUCUCCUCCUCAAAAAUCUUAUGAUGGUAAUUUCGGAGUUGAAUGAAACUUAGACGGACUUACUGAAUUUCAAAUUAUCAAUUUAAUGGGACAAAUGACCAUUUGGUACAAGACCUUUCUUGCAAAAGCCAAUUCAAUAAUUGAAGCUACAAAUAAUAUUGUUAUUGGAUUCACAGGACAACUUGGUCGAUGUUGGGAUAAUUAUCUCCCAAAAACUGAGAAAGAUAUUUUAUUUUCCUCUGCCAAACGUGAUGAAAAUAACAGUAUUAUUCGUAACGAAAGUGAAGAAGAAAUUAAUGAUAGUUUUACUGUUAUUGGUUUAACUAUUAUCAAACAUGUCAUUGGUUUGGUCUGUAUCUCGGUUCGGUUCAAUUAAUAACCACGAAAAUAAAUUAUUUUUUAUAGAUCAAUCUGUCAAAUUGAUAUAAAACAAUUUAUGAAAAGAGAGUCAAUGAAAACAAAAAUACAAUAUUCCAAAUAAAAAUACAAACAUUAUCUCAAAUUUCAAUUGCAAAAUACAAAUUUAACAAACAAUAUUAUGAAUAUAACAAUAUUAAAUUUUUCCUUCAUUCUUGAUUCUUGUGCAUUUUAGUUACUUGAUUCAUGCUCAAUAAUCCAAAAGUUUCAAUUUUAACUCAUAUUCAAUAUUCAUUUUUCCCCACAACUCUUACUAGAAUAGGUCAGCACUUAAAAUUGAUUCAUAUAUAGUAAAUAAAAAAUGUAAGUAGAGAAUACAACGAUACUACCUAAUCCAGAAUGGUUUUAACAAGAUUUAAAUAAAAAAAUAUACAUCUUCGUCAACUUCCUCCUCCUAAACAUUGUCAUCUCUAAUAAAAGAAUGAUUUUUUUAUUUUUAUUUUUAUUUUUUCGGGUAAUUAGUUCGGUUUCGAUUCGACAACAUAAAUACGAUACCCGUACCACUAUGAUCCGGUUCAUUAAAAUCAAAUAUCAUAUUCGUCCCAUUACAUCAUCAGUUCGAUUUUUUCGCCCCAUUAGGUUCGAUUAACUGCGGUUUUCGAUUUUAACAGUUCAAAUUUGCCCUCCCUAACUAUUAUUUAAAAGUAAUUUCGUCCAUAAACAUUUGAUGCAAUUUCAUCCUUCAAAUUUUUUUUUUUGUCAAAUAUUCUCAUUUUAAUGAGAAUCAAACAAGGCUAAAUUCAAACUUGGUCAUUUGACUAUCUUCAAAUUCUAUUCCUCCUUCAACUAUUUUAGAAUUUGAAUCCGUUAGUCCAUCUAUUCUUAAACAUCAAUUUGAAUUCUUUAAAAAAAAAAAAGUUGAAAUUUCGAAUUUGGCCAUCCAUCUAUUCUUAAACAUCAAUUCCAUUCUUCAACUUUUCGAAAAUUUAAAUUUGGUCAUUCAACUAAAAUUAAAAUUCAACUUCAUCAUUAAAAUUUUUGGAAAUUCUUAUUUGAUCAUCAACUAUAGUUUAAAAUCAAUUUCAUCCUUCAAUCUAACUAUUGUUUAUAUUCAUUCUCAUCCUUCGCCUAUUUGGAAAUUCAAAUUUGGUCAUCCAACUUAAAUUUAAAUUCAAUUUCUUCCUUCCACUGUUUGGAAAUUGGAAUUUCGCCAUCCAACUAUAACUUAAAUUCAAUAUCAUCCUUCAAUUUUUAUUAAAUUCCAAUUUCAUCAUCCAAACUAUUGUUUAACUUCAAUUUCAUCCUUUAACUUUUAUUAAAUUAAAAUAUGGUCAUCCAUUUAUUGUUUAACUUCCAUUUCAUCCUUCAGCUAUUAGGAAAUUCGAAUUUGGCCUUCCAACUAUUCUUACAAAUAAAUUUGAUCCUUCAUCUAUUUGAAUAUUUCAAUUUGGUCAUCCAACAAUAAUUUAAGUGAUUUCAUCGGUCAACGUUUAUCAUACGAAAGUGGUUUAAGUUAAUUUCAUUGAUCAACUAUUUGGAAAUUCGAUUUUGUUCAUCCUUCUAUUCUUAAACAUCAAUUUCAACCUUCAAACUUGAAAAUUUGAAUUUGGUCAUCCAACUAAAAUUUAAAUUCAAUUUCAUCCUUCAUCUAUUUGGAAAUUCUGAUUUGGUCAUCCAACUCAACCAGAAGACGCCUUUAACUUGAGGAAAAAUGAUAAAGUCAGAGAUUUUUUGCUCAAUGAUUCCAUUCAAUCAAAGGCUCAGCUCCAGAGUAAUAAUAUGGUUCUUUUGAAGAGCCUUGAUAAAUUUCAUUUAUAUGGCACCAUAACAAUGUGAUUGAUAAUGUAUUUUAUAAUACUUUUUCAUUAAAUUAAUGUAGAGAAUAUGGCACUCAUUUUGGGAUUGUCCUAAUGUUACGUUCAAUGAUGUAUAUCUGCCUUGAUUUUGAAGACGACCAUAUUAUAAAACACAAAGUUAUAGAUGCAGGUUGGCCUAUGGGAUUUGCCAUUCUUGCAAGACACUUGAGCUUGAAUGGCAAGAUAUAUUUUGACAUCUCUAAUUCAAAUAUAGUAUCCACACUCCUAGCCCUCUUAGCUCUCCUGCCAUAUGCACAUGAACGCACACGAAGAAUGGAAAAGGAGAUGCAUUUAGAAGGUAGUUGACAGUUAGGUAGAUGCCAUUAAUUUCUUCUCCUGGUUAAAAUUUACCAACUCCUGAAUUCACACAUAUUGUACCCCAUUUUGUGAUUGCCCUACGGUCAUAGUAGACAGUUUAAAAAUCAUAAAGUUGAUUGUUAAUUUGUUUUCUUGUUUGUCGCUAUACACCAACAAUCGAUUCAAAGUCGAGGAGUCAUGUGCAAUAUUGUGUAAAAAGUGUUGGUAGGUUAGGGUUUAACUUUAGAUUGAUUAAAAAAUUUAAAAUAAUAUUAGAGUAAGAAAAUGUUUUUUCGCCUAGGCCUAAGCUUGGCAUCCCCGUUUCCCCACUCUUUACGAUUUUUAGAACACUGAUCGAGCUUAAUCAAAUUAUCAAUUGUUGGAAAAUUAACAAAGCAAUUAAUGAAAAUGGAAGUAACACAGUCUUAUUCGUUUGAUACAUGUGUGAUUAAUUUGUAAUUAUCUUUAUACUCUUAUUCAAUAGUUGUUAUCUCCUCGGGUAGAAUGGCCAAUUUACAAUCUAAAUUCACAGAAUAUUAAAAGUCAUUUUUUAUCAAUGUUUUCAAGAAAAUUAUAUUCCUACCUUUUAAAUUCGUCCCAUUACAUGGCAUCUCCCACAAACAUUUUACAUUCAAAGUAAUAUCACUGUAGAUAAUUAAUAAUAACACACAGGUAGCACCAAUAUUCCAAGGCACGUUGUGUUUGGAACCAAGAUAUAAUUAUCCAUUAGGAUGGUCACAAAUUUUAUGCGAAAUGUAUGAAUUAUAUGUAGAAUGAAUGAGUACAAAUAUUAGUUGAGUACCCUCUGCACCUACUUCUUUCACUGAUAUUGAAGAAAAUGAUGCUGAAAUAUUAACUUUAUUGGAAGGCAUUAACAUGUAUAGAUAUGAUGCAAAUACAAUAGGUUCAUCUAGUAAUAGUUUAUCUUCUGCAUGUAAUCAAACAUUGGACUCAAUUACAAAUACAUUAUUUGUUGAAUGAAUUGAUUACUUUAAUCAUAAUAUGCUUACCAACAAAACAGUUAAAAAAAGCUCAGAAGAAAUUGAAUUUUGACGAAAAUACGAACGAAGAUGACCAGUAAUUUUCGCAAUCGCAAUAGAUCUACUGACGCCUCCGGUUAGCAUUAUAGUUUCAGAGUCUGCUUUUAGUGCAGGUAAGAAGGUUUUAUCUGUGGUCAAGAGAUGUCUAAAAGAAGACAUUUUGGAAGCAUUAAUGUGCGUAAGGAUUGGUAAAAUGCUCAUUUUCGACUACAAGAUAAAUAUAUUAUUUUACGUGUAUAGGUCAUUGAACCGUCAUUUUUUGGAUUAUUAGGAUAACACGAGUGACUACCUCAAACGGGCUGAACUUGCCAAAUACUAACAACAACCUUAAGCAUGAUUAAGUAAAUCCCUACCUCAGGCUUAGUCUGGACAUAGAUGUUCGACUAGAUACUUUCCUCUAGUCCUUGAGACAAUUCUCUGAUCGAGUAAAUCCAUUUAAUCACUUGGUUUAUGGAGAGUGAAUAUCAUAAAAACACAAGAAAUGGUUUACCACAAAGGAGAGACACCCCACCCACACAAGUGCAUAUAAACUAUGGUGCCUAACCCAUAUACAACAGAUUUCUCAAAACACACACAACAAACUACACUGUAAGCACGUAGUUUCCACAUUACAAUAAGUAGGGACUACAAGUGGACAACUAUUAUUUUGGUAGAUUUUAAGUAUCUAAAACAAUUAUUAACUUAAUGAAUUAGGGAUCGACUGAUUGAAUAAUGUAACCAACUAUGAUGCGCGCAAACACUCAUCCUAGGCGGAUUGCUAAUGUCCAAUAUAUUCACUAUGUGGCAUAUCAUGUUUUAUAUACAUUUUUUUUUUUCAAAUAUCCAAUAGUUGAUGGAGAUGUGUUAGUCGCCACGUGGUGUGAUCAAUACUCGUACUAAUUUCUAAUACACUCGGAACGCUGUCUUCACACGUUCGAAACAAUAAACCCCAUUUUGUAAAUUUUGGGAUAUAAAUAAAGGAAUUUUUUCUUUUAUCUUUUAAGUUAUUUGUAAAGAAUUAAAAUAAUGCUAGUUUUAUAUUUAUUAGGUUUUAUUGUAAUUGACUAUUCUUUAGACAAAAUUAAAGUUACAAAAGAGUUAAAAAAAUUUAAAAAGUUAUUUGGGAGGUUGUAUAAGUCAAUUAGGAGUUUUUGGAUUCGAGAAUGGAACAAGGAGAAAAAGUAGCUGGAAUAAUGCUAGCUGGUUGUCCCUUUAGCACUUGAGCCCUACCUUGGAGAAAUCAACAUAACCAUGCCGCCCGCUUGGCUCUAGCUCAUUGCUCGAGUGGUGGAGUCAAUGCUCUCUUGGUUCGAGCCUAGCUCUUGAGCAAUGUUGUUAUCCGAAGAAAUUCUAUUUACAAUUGAAACAACUUUCUAAGUCCUAAACAACUCCAAACACUCUCUACUGUAUAUAACUAAGUCAUAUUCCAUCCAGAUGGGUGAUUGAUCAUUAUAUUCUUCCUAGGAAACAUCUUUGAAGAGCCUACAACAAUUCUAGACCUUGGGAUCUUUCAACCACACUUUAGAAAACAUCAAAUCCAAAAUUAUCAAAACACCAAACCACCCUCUUUUGUAUAAUAUGUCAGAGUUUUAAAGAUCGAGAAAGGUAACUAGAGUUUCGGUAGGACAAGAAUGGGGAGUUCUUGAUGAUCCAUAUGAGAGAGACGAUUUCAGGAGGUUGAGAGCAGGUACAAUAUCACACAGUCCAUGAGGGCUUUGGAGAUUAUAGAAAGUAGGUCAGAGAGUACUAGGAGGAAGUCAAGUCUGGACCAUAUUGUAAGUCAAUUUGUUUAUAGUGGAUAUUACUGGCUUGGGCCCAAAGUUUUUUGACCUCGCAAUGUUUCUCAGUGAUCAUUUCGUUGGUGUUAUUUAUUUUGUGCAAAUUACUAACUGUGGCAAUUUAACAUAGGUUAGACUUGCUUGUGAGUUGCGUAAAUUUUAAUUCCGCAUUAAUCACCUAUUAUACGUAUGCAAUUUUCUUGACAGUAAUUUUGAUGUUUUUAAGACUUGUCUAAUUUUUUGGUCAUUACAGUAUUGUCUUAUCCAAUUACACAGCAAAAUGGAAUUUGCACCGUGCCAACCUGUUGAUAGGAUAAGCAAACUUUCUGAAAAUAUAAUAGAUGACAUUCUAAUGUGUUUGACAACAUGAUGCUGCAAAGACAAGUAUCUUAUCAAGACAAUGGAGGUAUAAAUGGAAUAAACUACCUCAUCUGAUAUUUGAUGUUACAUUGUGGCAAGAAUAAGAGUUUGCAAGAAUUUGAGGUAAAAGAGAGAACUCUGAAGUUCUUGCUAUUCGUUUACCAGGUUCUUUUACGUCACCAAGGACCCAUAACUCAGUUUACUCUUGUUAUUCCAAAGCUUGAAAUCUGUUCACAUGUUGACCACGCGUUCAAUUUCUUAUCAAAUUAUGGUGUCAAAGAAUUCAUCUUUGAAAUUGAUUAGGAAUACAGAUUCCGUCUUCACUAUAUAUAUAUUUACGUUGAAACAUUUGAAACUGUUGUCGAAUUUCCCAGCUGAAUUUGAUUACUUGGAAAUUGACGCUCUUACGCUAAGCCUUUUUCAUCUUCGAUGUUUAUGUUGUUCGUCUAUUUUUACAAAGAGAUUCCAACGGUUAGAGUUACUGCUUAUGAGCGUUAUGAGGUUGACUAAUUAAAUUAUGGAAACUGUAACUUCGUUGGAUUCUUUGAUUCUCUUCCUGCUCUUCAUAAACUGUGCAUGGACUUCCAUUUUAUGCUGGUAUGGUAUGAUUGAUUAUAAAUAUAAUCACGUGAAUUCAAGUUAAAUAUGUUCGAUCAUAAUUUUUCCAUCUGCUUUCUAGACUUUAUCUGCAGGUCAAAUCCAAACAAUGCUUCCAACUUCUUUAAUCCACCUUAAAAUUCUGAAUUUACUAAUAUAUAUCUAGAUCUAGAGGAUGAAUUCUUGUGGGGGUUUUUGCUUGAUCAGAAGCUCCCCCAACCUUGAGAAAAUUAUCACCGCGGCAAGUAAUGGACAGAGUUAUUUCUGUUUACGUUAUUCUAUAUCCUGAUUUGAACUAAAAAUUAAAGCUAACUAAUUUUUUUGUCAUAUUUCAUAGAUUACGGAUUGGGAAAAUACGGGUGCAAGCCCUGUUCCAGAGUUUCUAAAAGUGCAAGACUACUAAGAUGUACUUCUAAAUCAACUUCAAGAAGUGAAGCUAGAUUCCAUUACUGGCAUAGUUUCUGAGAUAAUACUGAUCCAGCACAGGAGAGAUUUUUUCCGGCCUAGCAUUGAGAAAGUAAUGUAAUUUUAAAAGAGGUAAACAAAUUUCAGUGUGCAUCACCAAAUGCAGCGGUCAUUUAUGAAAAUAAACUUUGAUAGAUGGAUGAAUCUAGUUCAAACAGAUCAGAAGGACUUUACUUUCAGUUUUGCAAUGUGGCUUUCUGAAAUUAGAAAUGUUUUUGCUGGAUCAUGCAAGGCAGUGUUGGCUAAUUAUGAGAUUUCAAACCAUAUCGAGAAAACACUUCUAGAUUAUAGCUUUGGUACAAAUAGAUAUACUUAAAAUGGAAGUAACUUAUGAUCUUAUUUUCAUGAUGUUCUUCACUUAUAUGAAGUUUUGACUAUAUUUAUAGUUUAGGAUAAGAUUUGGGUUUAAUGAUGUAAAUAUUUUGAAUAUUUACAUGUAGGGCAUGAAAGUUUAUCCUCGAGAAAUAUAAGUCAUAUCUUAUUCAACUAUUGAUGAGUGCGUUUUACUUACGAGUUUAAGCUAAUUUUAACUUGAUUGUAAGUUAGAUUUUACGAGUAUUGAAUGUUUUUAAUGUGUUUGUAAAUGUUGUUUUAUAGGAUUAUCGAGAUGGUGAAGGAGAUGAAAAAGAUCAUCGAUUGAAGUUAAUGGUGUGGAUUGAAAAGAAAUUGUGGAGAAAGGUACAAAAGAGGCAAAGCAAAAUUAUUGGACAAGUAGUGCCCCAGGGCUCAAAUAGCAAGGUGCCACAAAGAAGCGAGGAACAGAGUGUGGGCGUCGUGGCGCCAAGUGCUUCAGACAGAGCGCCACCUCACUUAUAUCGCGACGAAAUUUCAGUCCUUUUGUAGUCUAGAUGAAAACCUUACCUUCUACACACUGCAAGACCCAUACAAAUACGAAAUUUCUCACACAUUUAAGGGGGGUUCACACAUUGAGAGGCAAGAAAAUACAAUUGGAGAAUUAAAGGAGGAAUUCAGGGGGGGGGGGGGUUUCGAGAAAUUCAUCUUGUAAAGCAUUGAUUGGAAGAGAAAAAAAUUCUUGGUGCAAGAUCUACUUUUUCUUCUACACCUUUCAUACAAAAUCCGGUGAUGAUAAUCUAUGAUUUUUCCUUUUUCAUUAUGAAUAGCUAAAUCUAUUAUUAGGGUGAAUAAUGUAACCAAUUGGGAUCCUUUAUAUUUUUUUUAUUAAGAUUUUUUGUUUUUAAUUUUUC
RNAcentral lists this long non-coding RNA (13116 nucleotides) under Olea europaea subsp. europaea. The record is from RNAcentral. Lineage: Eukaryota; Viridiplantae; Streptophyta; Magnoliopsida; Lamiales; Oleaceae.